AGAUUGAACGCUGGCGGCAUGCCUUACACAUGCAAGUCGAACGGCAGCACGGGGGCAACCUUGGUGGCGAGUGGCGAACGGGUGAGUAAUAUAUCGGAACGUGCCCUAGAGUGGGGGAUAACGUAGCGAAAGUUACGCUAAUACCGCAUACGAUCUACGGAUGAAAGUGGGGGAUCGCAAGACCUCAUGCUCGUGGAGCGGCCGAUAUCUGAUUAGCUAGUUGGUAGGGUAAAAGCCUACCAAGGCAUCGAUCAGUAGCUGGUCUGAGAGGACGAUCAGCCACACUGGGAUUGAGAACGGCCCAGACUCCUACGGGGGGCAGCAGUGAGGAAUUUUCCGCAAUGGGCGCAAGCCUGACGGAGCAACGCCGCGUGCAGGAAGGCGGUUUUCGGAUCGUAAACUGCUUUUCUCGGGGACGAGAACGGACGGUACCCGAGGAAUCAGCCCGGCUAACCUACGUGCCAGCAGCCGC
RNAcentral lists this ribosomal RNA (472 nucleotides) under uncultured bacterium. RNAcentral's name for it is "SSU rRNA". It matches the Rfam family "Bacterial small subunit ribosomal RNA", at positions 26 to 518 of the family's 1533-position model. The record is from RNAcentral.